RNAcentral lists this ribosomal RNA (274 nucleotides) under uncultured bacterium. RNAcentral's name for it is "partial 16S ribosomal RNA". It matches the Rfam family "Bacterial small subunit ribosomal RNA", at positions 523 to 796 of the family's 1533-position model. The record is from RNAcentral.
AUACGGAGGGUGCAAGCGUUAUCCGGAUUCAUUGGGUUUAAAGGGUUCGCAGGCGGCGUAUUAAGUCAGUGGUGAAAUCCCGAGGCUCAACCUCGGAACUGCCAUUGAUACUGGUAUGCUAGAGUAUAGUUGGCGUUGGCGGAAUGUAUCAUGUAGCGGUGAAAUGCUUAGAUAUGAUACAGAACACCGAUCGCGAAGGCAGCUAACGAAACUAUAACUGACGCUCAGGAACGAAAGCGUGGGGAGCGAACAGGAUUAGAAACCCCAGUAGUCC